Molecule: long non-coding RNA, 1116 nt
Organism: Myotis brandtii (Brandt's bat)
Lineage: Eukaryota; Metazoa; Chordata; Mammalia; Chiroptera; Vespertilionidae
Exons: 3
Source: RefSeq, a predicted model, not a curated record
ACGGUGGGGAGGGCGGGGAGGUGGGGAGAGAAGGGCAGGAAGCGCGCGGAAGGGGACGGGAAGGAAGAAAGGCCGACUGCGGGCCUGGAAAGGGGGUCACCUCCGCUGCGUGUUGCUCCCUGGAGCGGACAGUGUUUAUUAUCCUGUCAGCUCACCCCUGACUACCUUGUCUUACGUGGGCUUUCAGUACUGUCACAGAUGGCCCCGUUUUAAUUUUCUCAAGAGAGUAAGAGAUUUCCCUUUGUUCAUUUCCGUUUCCCGCGUCAGCGUUGUAAACAAGGAGCGCAGAAGCGUCCAUCUUGUUUACUCUUCGUCUCCAGCAGGGAACUUGUGCGUUAAGUUAAUAAAAGUAAGGUUCUGGAUACAAGAGGAAUAUAUGGAAAUUAUUUUCUGCACUAAUAACCACUAAUUCGACGUAGAAAUGAAAUGAAGUUUGAAAAUUAAGUCACCAAGAAGUUGUGGGGGAGAUUACCUGCAAAAAAAAGCUCUUGUGGAAUGAGAAUUGCAGGGAAAAAAGAAAAAGAUAGGAAGCCUACAAAAUUUAUUAUGCUUUAUCAGGAAAAUACAGGGUCAGUCUUUCCUAAGAGGCCUUGUAUUUCAACUCCCCGGGCCAGAAACUGCUACUGGACAGACUGAACCAAGCCAAAGGGAAGAUCCAACUAUAAUCAAUCUACUUUCUGACCAAUGGCACACAGGGUUCCUGACCUCCUCCAUUCUCCGGAUUCUAUGUCUAUUCAGCCAUGUGAGCAUGGGCACUUAGGAGAAAUGUGCACAUCACUUCAAUCAUUUCCCCACUCCUGGAUUUAUCUUGAUCCACUCAAUGUCUGCUUUCUGCCAACAGUAAACCCCAGAGGUCAGGAGGUCAAAGGUUCUUGAUGUCUACCUGGGGUUCCUUUGGAGGCCCAGCAACCAGCCUUUCCUUCAAGAUCCAUUCUGUACCUUUGGAUCAUGCUAACCACAGUAAUUACCCCGUUCCCGAGGCCGGAUGACAUCAGAUGAGGAUGACGCCGGGACCAAGCCUGCUCGAGAGAAGGCAAGGUGGAUGCCUCACAGCAUUCCUUAUAUUGUGUUGAAAUAUUUUAGAUAUACUGGGAUAAAUUAAUUUACUGGUGUGAA